UACGUAGGGCGCAAGCGUUGUCCGGAAUUAUUGGGCGUAAAGAGCUCGUAGGCGGCUUGUCACGUCGAUUGUGAAAGCCCGAGGCUUAACCUCGGGUCUGCAGUCGAUACGGGCUAGCUAGAGUGUGGUAGGGGAGAUCGGAAUUCCUGGUGUAGCGGUGAAAUGCGCAGAUAUCAGGAGGAACACCGGUGGCGAAGGCGGAUCUCUGGGCAGUAACUGACGCUGAGGAGCGAAAGCGUGGGGAGCGAACAGG
Molecule: ribosomal RNA, 253 nt
Filed under: uncultured bacterium
Lineage: Bacteria
Description: partial 16S ribosomal RNA
Rfam family: Bacterial small subunit ribosomal RNA
Source: RNAcentral